CUUCGGUAACUGACCUAGCGGCGGACGGGUGAGUAAUACUUAGGAAUCUGCCUAUUAAUGGGGGACAACAUCUCGAAAGGGAUGCUAAUACCGCAUACGCCCUACGGGGGAAAGCAGGGGAUCACUUGUGACCUUGCGUUAAUAGAUGAGCCUAAGUCGGAUUAGCUAGUUGGUGGGGUAAAGGCCUACCAAGGCGACGAUCUGUAGCGGGUCUGAGAGGAUGAUCCGCCACACUGGGACUGAGACACGGCCCAGACUCCUACGGGAGGCAGCAGUGGGGAAUAUUGGACAAUGGGGGGAACCCUGAUCCAGCCAUGCCGCGUGUGUGAAGAAGGCCUUAUGGUUGUAAAGCACUUUAAGCGAGGAGGAGGCUCUCUUGGUUAAUACCCAAGAUGAGUGGACGUUACUCGCAGAAUAAGCACCGGCUAACUCUGUGCCAGCAGCCGCGGUAAUACAGAGGGUGCGAGCGUUAAUCGGAUUUACUGGGCGUAAAGCGUGCGUAGGCGGCUUUUUAAGUCGGAUGUGAAAUCCCCGAGCUUAACUUGGGAAUUGCAUUCGAUACUGGGAAGCUAGAGUAUGGGAGAGGAUGGUAGAAUUCCAGGUGUAGCGGUGAAAUGCGUAGAGAUCUGGAGGAAUACCGAUGGCGAAGGCAGCCAUCUGGCCUAAUACUGACGCUGAGGUACGAAAGCAUGGGGAGCAAACAGGAUUAGAUACCCUGGUAGUCCAUGCCGUAAACGAUGUCUACUAGCCGUUGGGGCCUUUGAGGCUUUAGUGGCGCAGCUAACGCGAUAAGUAGACCGCCUGGGGAGUACGGUCGCAAGACUAAAACUCAAAUGAAUUGACGGGGGCCCGCACAAGCGGUGGAGCAUGUGGUUUAAUUCGAUGCAACGCGAAGAACCUUACCUGGUCUUGACAUAGUAAGAACUUUCCAGAGAUGGAUUGGUGCCUUCGGGAACUUACAUACAGGUGCUGCAUGGCUGUCGUCAGCUCGUGUCGUGAGAUGUUGGGUUAAGUCCCGCAACGAGCGCAACCCUUUUCCUUAUUUGCCAGCACUUCGGGUGGGAACUUUAAGGAUACUGCCAGUGACAAACUGGAGGAAGGCGGGGACGACGUCAAGUCAUCAUGGCCCUUACGACCAGGGCUACACACGUGCUACAAUGGUCGGUACAAAGGGUUGCUACCUAGCGAUAGGAUGCUAAUCUCAAAAAGCCGAUCGUAGUCCGGAUUGGAGUCUGCAACUCGACUCCAUGAAGUCG
This 1256-nucleotide ribosomal RNA is filed under the name uncultured Acinetobacter sp. RNAcentral's name for it is "bacterial SSU rRNA". It matches the Rfam family "Bacterial small subunit ribosomal RNA", at positions 78 to 1328 of the family's 1533-position model. Lineage: Bacteria; Pseudomonadati; Pseudomonadota; Gammaproteobacteria; Moraxellales; Moraxellaceae. The record is from RNAcentral.